This 6532-nucleotide long non-coding RNA is filed under the name Panicum hallii. Its description in RNAcentral is "long non-coding RNA (PHAL_LNC000270)". Lineage: Eukaryota; Viridiplantae; Streptophyta; Magnoliopsida; Poales; Poaceae. The record is from RNAcentral.
CUGUAGAUCUGCAGUUUAUGCAUAUAGAUUUGGUUGCUAGAUUUGGCACUCUACUUUUGGCAAUUGGAAUAGCCGGGUCUUGGAUUUGGGUGUGUUCAGUAGUGAUCUGGUGUAGUAAAGUGGUGCACCUACCUAAAACUGACAGGCAAUUCUGUUUGCCCAAAACAUACAUAAUUACAACGUGCUAGUUGCUGGCCCAAAUGCCAUCUCCUAUUUCUAAGAGGGCACACUUGCUCCAGAGCCCACUUCACAGGCAUUCGGAUAUUGAUCUGCAAACAUUCCCAUGCUUCUUUGCAUAUGAUCAACUUACUGUCUUAAAUAAGAUGUUAGAUGAUAUUGAGUGAUCCAUGCAUGCUUGUUGUUUAUAUAUGUCUAAUAUAAGUCUUCCAAGGCUAUCACACUGAUCGUGGGCUUUGUUGAUUAUAUUCUUGUUUAGGCUCUUGUCAAUAUGAUCAGCAACCCUGUCAACUCCACUGUCCCGAUUGCAGCGGAGGUUUUCAAGAAGGCUGGCACUUAUGAUGAGAAGAAGCUGUUUGGUGUGACCACUCUUGAUGUUGUUCGUGCUAAAACUUUUUAUGCUGGAAAGGCGGGCGUGCCAGUUACUGGUAAUAAGAUGUUCUACUUGAAAAUUGCUAGAAUGCUAGAUACAUUGCUAGAUGGUUGUCAGAUUUAAUUUGUAGUCUCUCUCAAUGUGAGUUGUUGCUACUUGCUGUGACCUUUUGCAGAGGUGAAUGUUCCUGUUGUCGGGGGCCAUGCGGGUAUUACUAUUCUGCCACUCUUCUCGCAGGUAUUGUAUCCACAGUUGCUGUUUCCUUCAGUGACACAAUGAUCUCCAAAAUGUACCCAGUUAGAAUAGAUAUAAGUCAUAUAACUAGUGUUAAAAGAGCCUUGUAGCAUAAGCAUACCCACAAUGAUCAAGUAGUGUAAGUGUAUGAAAUAUAUUGACGAAACAUGCAAUUUGAUUAGCAAAGGGGUUGUCUUUUGUGGACAGGAUUCAACAGAGUAUGUUUGCCUAGACUAGUUCAAUAAUGUCAAUUUGUCAACCGUGCAUAAGGACUCUAAAGCUAUCUUGGGUUAACGUUUGUCAUGCUAGGUGUAUUCUAUGUUGCGCCUCAUAUAUCUAAAGCUAAUAACCCCAACAUAAACUUGAACAAAAUCAAAUUGUCUGUUCCAUACAGGCCACUCCUGCAAGCAAUUCACUGUCCCAAGAAGACAUCGUGGCCCUCACCAAGAGGACACAAGAUGGUGGAACGGAGGUUGUUGAAGCAAAGGCUGGAAAGGGCUCUGCAACAUUGUCCAUGGCGUAAGUCUAUAAAACAUGGACCUUUGUGAGCAUGUCUUUCAGCUCGACUAUAGAACCUGUAACUAGCAUAUCCUGUCUGUUUAUGAUCUUUAUGGAACUUUUUGAAUACUGUCUUCUAUCAUUGCAACUUGUCCAUUAGUAGAUGCUUGAAUUUUCUUAGGAGAACUGCCUGUGACAUGAGUUAGCGGCUGCACGAUUGCACAUACACUCUCCUGCACAAGCUUAUAACAUCAAAGCUAGUGAGAUGCAUGUGGCCGUAAUUUGGUGCUAUUAAGUAUACAUUAUUAUUGCUAUAUCAUGGUUUUUCAUGAAUUCCUUUGAUUGUAUAUGGAUUGCAUCAAUUUAUUGUCAGAACUGGAUGUAUAUUAAUCUAUCUGAUUGUAAUGAACAUCAUUUGUAGUUUAUGCCAUUCAGUAUACAUGUAUAGUUGAACUAACCUCGUGAAUUUAAGAGACAUUCCUUGAACCGCACCUGCUUCUAUCUUGGUCUACAGUGUUUUUUAGAUAGUAUUCUUUCAGAAAAACUUGCACAUUCUACUUUGUUGACUCUUUGUUAUUGCAUUCAUGUGAAGUUGUUCAUGAUAUUGUUAUUAUUUGGAAUGUAGCUUCUUGCCAAAUGAAGGGCCCACUUGUCCUUGAGCAUCUGUAUAAGAUCAUAUAUCUUAUAUUUCCAACUAAUUUGUUGCAAUAUGAGCUAGAGCCUGUUUGGGUAGAUUGGAUUUGGAUCCAAUUUUAUUAGUUAGCAGCCUCACCGUAACACCCAUAUCUGAAUUUUUUUUCUGUGUGACUUUACCUUUGCUUCCCUUUAGUGUUCUGCCUGCAUGUAAUCUUCUGUUUCCUAAAUCAUCAUAUUGUAGUGGCUGUGCAGACAGACUCAGUUUCCAUCAACCGUUGUUAUACAUAACCAUAUUAGUUUUAUGCUGAUUUCAGGUCAAGCUCUGCCGCAAUUUGUUUUACUAAUAUAUUUUUUUUGGGUGCAGAUAUGCUGGUGCUGUUUUUGCAGAUGCAUGCUUGAAGGGUCUGAAUGGAGUUCCUGACAUUGUAGAGUGCUCUUUUGUGCAAUCAACUGUGACGGAGUUGCCGUUCUUUGCCUCCAAGGUACUUAUCUAAUGCGUAAAUAUGUAAAGUGCAGUUAUGUUUUAUCAUAUGGUCAAAAUAAAUUUUCUUGGUUCUUUCUUCCUGUUUUCCUUUUUUUUCUUGUUAUAAAGGCUUAUACCGGUUACCAAAAUUUAAAUUACCAUGCUAUAAUUUGAUUUUCACUUAUUUAUUAUAUAAGUCAAUCUGUUUUUUGAAUUUGGAGGCAAGGAUCCAAAUCAUAGGUUUUGUGCACUGAAUUUUGUGUGGUCAGAGGCAUUAAAAGAAUUGGUUUUAUUUUUGUUGUUUUUUAAGCUUAUAAAACUGUCUUAUCGAUGGGUCUUGCAUGUCCUAUCGGAUUAAAGGUACUGUGAACCAUUGCCAUUUUGGUGUUUUUUCUUGAGAAUCAGUGUGAUGUGUUGGCCUUAUGGUUCCAUGUAGCAUGUUCUUGUUUCCAGGAACUGACGAGUGGCAUAUCUCAUUCUUUUACAAUAUCAUGGUUUUCCCUGUCUUGUCAGCUGCAAGAGGGCAUUUCAAUAUUGGCUGAUCAAAAUUAUGUGUUCUUCAGUAAACAUCGCUAAUGCCAGUGCCUUGCUAUACUAGUUAGAUGGACUCUUUCUAGUGUAUUUUUUCACUUGAUUUUGUUGAUUCUCUCAAGAGACAGUCUUCAUAUGCUGCCUAGUGUAGUUUUAACACCAGUCCCUUCCAUGCUACAGGUGCGCCUCGGCAAGAAUGGAGUGGAGGAAGUGCUUGGUCUGGGCGAGCUCUCCGACUUUGAGAAGAAGGGGCUGGAAAGCCUCAAGGGCGAGCUCAAGGCUUCCAUUGAGAAGGGUAUCAAGUUCGCCCACGGGAACUAGGCACUUUGCACAGACUCUUAACAAUUCAUAUAUCAAGCUGAGGAGAUCUCUUGGAAUUUUUUUUUGAUCGCCUUUUCUGCCCCUCUUCUGCUGGGAAGUAGAGGUGUUGUGAUCCACAAUAAAAAUCCAGCGGCUUAGUUGCCAACCUGAAUGAAACCUGAACCGGAAACAACCACACCGGUCACCGGUGCCUUUUGUGCUCGGCCAAUUGCUUGGUGAGCCGUGACGGAAAUGGGAACGGACUUGCCACUUGCUCGAUCCCACUUGUUAUUCUGGUAUUGUAUCGGUACCAGGGCUCCAUGUCAUACUGGAAUUCAAAUUAUUGGGGCUGCUAGAUACCAAUGUGCUGUUGCUCGUGAGACCUUGCACUGUUGAGCCGAGCAUUGCUGGUUCAGGGCAAAUUCCAAGGGUCCAAGCAACGUGCUAUGCUUGCUGGCGGGCGAUGUGUGAUUUUCAGAUUGAUUGGUGAGCCUGGAACGAGCACGUACCAUUAAAAGAGCCUAUGUUUAGAUAUAUAGCAUCAAAAGAAUCAGUUUUAGACAUAUACCAUCAAAAGAUGGCAAUUCUUUGCAGCUUAGCAUUUCUGUGAACUCAAUGCUAACUCUUUAACCAUUAUACCCUUUGGCUGAUAAAAUGAUUCGAGCGGCAGUAUAACAGUAUCCAGCCCCCAUUUCUUUUUUCUUUCUUUCCAUAGCAUUUUGAGAGGAUAUAAGAGGAUCCAUUUCAACACCCUCCCGGAACCUCGUCAGGAUCCAUUUGCCUCAGGAUUUGUGCACGGAGGUGAAGAUGCAAGCAAGCUUCGGAUUUGUGCACGGUGGCUGCUCAGUACUACCAGGUGCGGAGUCCGAGAAGGGGAUAGGGAGUUCGUACUCUUUCCUUUCAAUCUUCGACGCAGCAACGCGGUGCUCAUUCUAUGUUUCUCUAUUGCGGCGGCAAACGAUCAGCAUCAACCUUGUUUUGGGGUGUUUCCCCGGCAGAUGAUCUUUUAUUGGUGCUUUUGCCCUAUCCCGUGCGACGGGCUUCUACUGUGGCUUCUGUAGUUUUUUGUGGCGAUUUGUGUUGAUGCGCGUCUGGGGAAGGUCAUGGAGGCCGUCCUCUUGAGUUUGUUGUUGCAUCAGAGAAGACGAUGGCGAGCUCCACAGCGAGGCGCGUUGCUGGUUGCGAGGAUGACGAUACCGUUGGACAUGGUUGUAUUUUUAUUUUUUGUCAAGGGUGAUGUGGUGUUGAUUACUGUACUCUCAUAUACUGUUGCUAUCUAUAGUUAGCCAAAUAGGCCGCAUGACGCUACACCGCACUAACACAUGUUGGAAACGACACGGUUCGGCACGACACGACUAGGCACUGAGCUUGCCAGCCUAUCAUACCCAGCCCCGCGUGAUAGUAUCGGCCUGAGCCCGACGUCCGGUAGCCUCCAGCGCCGUCACCAUCGGUGAAGGUCAUGGCAGCGAGGGCUCGGGAAGGCACGCGACCGCAGUAUCUUGGAUGGCAAGGGGCGGGGAGACUGCGGUCGCGCGGCGGUAGCGGUGGUGGCUGGGGAUGGCGAGGUGGCGGGGAGGCCGCGAGGUGCGUAAUGGUGGUGGUGGGAAGGGCGAGGGGUGAGGGGUGGCGGAGAGGCAGGAGAGAAGAGAGAAAGAGAAGGGGGUUGUUAGGUGGAGGCAUAAGGUUCAAGAUUUGGAGAAAAUGAUGGAAGUAUUUAUACGAGAAAUAUGUGGGCGGACUGAAUCGUGCCAGCCCAUUUAGUUAUAUGAGAAAUAUAUCGGCGGUAACGGUCUGAAUUGUGCCAACACUACGUAUGCCAGGAUUCCGGCCCAAAGAUAGCAUGGUGAUCGGAUCGUGCCAGCCCGCACACUACGGCUAUCUAUCGGUCCGUGUCAAGUUAGAGCUGUAUUCUUCAGUGUCGAGCUACGGUCCAUCGGGUCGGCCCAUCUGGCCAUCUAUAUUGCUAUCCCUCGUCUAAUAUUGCUAUCCCUCGUCUAAUGAAAGCAGAUAUUCCCUCUCAAAAGAAAAAAAAACUUCCCUUCAGAUCCCAUCCACACCCUUUGGAGUCAGGACCCUUCCUCCUCACCCCUCCCUCUAUUAGAGCACCACCCGCCGCCGCCGCCAGCCUGACCGCCUCCGCUCCCCUCACUCGUCCCCAGCGAGACGCGCCCCCGAGCUCCUCCGCCGCAGCCGCGAUGAGGUCUUCUCUGCUGAAAUCCACGUCCGAGCUCCUCCGCCGCAGCCGCGGCUACUCCUCCUCGGCCAACCCGGAGCGGAAGGUGGCCAUCCUGGGCGCGGCGGGCGGCAUCGGGCAGCCGCUCUCGCUCCUCAUGAAGCUCAACCCGCUCGUCUCCUCCCUCUCCCUCUACGAUAUCGCGGGGACCGUCGGCGUCGCCGCCGACGUGUCCCACAUCAACACCCCCGCCCUGGUACGCCCCCGCUGCUGCCCUGGUUUAUCGACGCGCGCCACGGGCUCGGCUGGAUCCGAGCUGAUUGGUCUCGUAUUCCGCAGGUGAAGGGGUUCAUGGGGGAUGACCAGCUCGGGGAGGCGCUGGAGGGAUCCGACGUCGUUAUCAUCCCCGCCGGGGUGCCCAGGAAGCCCGGCAUGACCAGGGACGACCUCUUCAACAUCAACGCUGGCAUUGUUAAGGCGCUCAGCACCGCCAUCGCCAAGCACUGCCCCAACGUAAGCAUCCCGCCCUUCCUCCCACUGUAGAUCUGCAGUUUAUGUAUAUAGAUUUGGUUGCUAGAUUUGGCACUAUACUUUUGGCAAUCGGAAUAGCCGGGUCUUGGAUUUGGUUAGAUCUAGUGUUCAGUAGUGAUCUGGUGUAGUAAAGUGGUGCGCCUACCUAAAACUGACAGGCAACACUGUUUGCCCAAAACAUACAUAAUUACGACGUGCUAGUUGCUGGCCUCAGUGCCAUCUCCUAUUUCUAAGAGAGCACACUUGCUCCAGAUGUCCAGAAUUCCAGAUAUUGAUCUGCAAAUAUUCCCAUGCUUUGCAAUGAUCAACUUACUGUCUUAAAUAAGAUGUUAGAUGAUAUUAUGCAUGCUUGUUGUUUAUAUAUGUCUAAAAUGUAAGUCUUCCAAGUAAACAUUUCCAUCUUGUUUAAUUUGUGCUAUCACACUGAUCAUGGGCUUUGUUGAUUAUAUGCUUCUUCAGGCUCUUGUCAAUAUGAUCAGCAACCCUGUCAACUCCACUGUCCCGAUUGCAGCGGAAGUUUUCAAGAAGGCUGGUACAUAUGAUGAGAAGAAGCUGUUUGGUGUGACCACUCUUGAUGUUGUUCGUGCUAAAACCUUUUAUGCUGGAAAGGCGGGCG